CGGACGGGUGAGUAACGCGUGGGUAACCUGCCUUGCACUGGGGGAUAGCACUUAGAAAUAGGUGCUAAUACCGCAUAAGCGCACGGUCCUGCAUGGGACAGUGUGAAAAACUCCGGUGGUGCAAGAUGGACCCGCGUCUGAUUAGCUGGUUGGCGGGGUAAAGGCCCACCAAGGCGACGAUCAGUAGCCGGCCUGAGAGGGUGGACGGCCACAUUGGGACUGAGACACGGCCCAAACUCCUACGGAAGGCAGCAG
Molecule: ribosomal RNA, 255 nt
Filed under: uncultured bacterium
Lineage: Bacteria
Description: partial 16S ribosomal RNA
Rfam family: Bacterial small subunit ribosomal RNA
Source: RNAcentral